GGCGCAAAUAGAAGAAAGUUUGGGGGACAUCAUGAUGUAAGAGUCCUAAGAUCAUUGGACUCUUAUCUCCUACCUAAAAUCAAACUCUCUUCCUAUUUAAACAUGGGAUAAGAGAAGGGCAGUAACAACCUGAUGGUGAUCAGCUUUGGACACAAAAAAGAUAAGGCAUGUGUUAAAAAAAAAAGAGAGAAGAAAGGCACGGCAUGAGGCUUCAUGGUGUGAGUUUUAGUUGCAUCUAUCCCUUCUUUCUUACCAACAACCAAAGGUUAAUUGUUAGAGACUCUUCUCUCUCUUUUUUGUCCAAGUUUGGACAUAGAUUUUUCUCUCCUCUUUUGUCCAAGAGUUGGACAUGAAUUCUCUAGAUCUCUAGCGUAGACAUUUUGUCCAUAAAUUUUAAGAAGAAAGAGAAGAAAGUAUUCUUCUCAUGAUCUCUAGCGUAAAGAUCAUCAUCCUUCUAUUCUCUUCUUCUUCUUGAAAAGAGUCUUGAAAGAAAUGAAGAGUUUUUCAACUAUCAAAAUACGAUCUCUGCAAGGGAGCUAGCACCCCGAUGAGAUUAAGAAACUUCUGAUCAGAUCGAAGUCUCGUGUAGAUACCCAUAAAGAUCGGACACUUAUACGAUUUCAAGAAACAUUCAGAUGACAUCCACGAUCAUCAGUUCGUGGUGUAGAUUGACCCGCGCCAAGAUAUGAAGAUUAGAUCUUCUCUAUUUAUUUUUUUUUAUUUGAUUUCUACAUCUGAAUCCUAUCUCACAUAUGUAGAUCUUAUUUAUGAUUUUAAGAUUUGAUCUUAUGCAUGCUUAGAUUAAAUUAGAUUUAAUCUGAAUUUUUAAAAUUUUUACUGCGUACUCGUUUUAAAAUUUUUGUAUACAUGAAUCUAUAAAAUUACAACAAUAAUAUACCAUAGGAUGUCAUAAUAUAAAAAAAUAUUUUCUUUCCAACCACUUUUUAAUGCACAUUUAAUGCCUGCAGUUUUACUUUUUCAUUUAAAAAUUCUAAAUGAUGAAAAUACUCCUG
Molecule: long non-coding RNA, 1013 nt
Filed under: Elaeis guineensis (African oil palm)
Lineage: Eukaryota; Viridiplantae; Streptophyta; Magnoliopsida; Arecales; Arecaceae
Description: long non-coding RNA (EGUI_LNC037544)
Source: RNAcentral